RNAcentral lists this transfer RNA (73 nucleotides) under Candidatus Pacearchaeota archaeon CG06_land_8_20_14_3_00_35_12. Its description in RNAcentral is "tRNA-Thr". It matches the Rfam family "tRNA". From Rfam's summary of the family: Transfer RNA (tRNA) molecules are approximately 80 nucleotides in length. Their secondary structure includes four short double-helical elements and three loops (D, anti-codon, and T loops). The record is from RNAcentral. Lineage: Archaea; Nanobdellati.
GCCACAGUAGCUCAGUUGGUAGAGCAAUACCUUGGUAAGGUAUAGGUCGUGUGUUCGAUCCACACCUGUGGCU